UACGGAGGGUGCGAGCGUUAAUCGGAAUUACUGGGCGUAAAGGGCGCGUAGGUGGUUUAGCGAGUCGGAUGUGAAAGCCCCGGGCUCAACUUGGGAAUUGCAUUCGAUACUGCUUGGCUGGAGUACGGUAGAGGGAAGCGGAAUUCCCGGUGUAGCGGUGAAAUGCGUAGAUAUCGGGAGGAACAUCAGUGGCGAAGGCGGCUUCCUGGACCGAUACUGACACUGAGGCGCGAAAGCGUGGGGAGCAAACAGG
RNAcentral lists this ribosomal RNA (253 nucleotides) under uncultured bacterium. Its description in RNAcentral is "partial 16S ribosomal RNA". It matches the Rfam family "Bacterial small subunit ribosomal RNA", at positions 524 to 776 of the family's 1533-position model. The record is from RNAcentral.